RNAcentral lists this ribosomal RNA (460 nucleotides) under uncultured bacterium. RNAcentral's name for it is "partial 16S ribosomal RNA". It matches the Rfam family "Bacterial small subunit ribosomal RNA", at positions 338 to 795 of the family's 1533-position model. The record is from RNAcentral.
CCUACGGGAGGCAGCAGUGAGGAAUAUUGGUCAAUGGGCGCUAGCCUGAACCAGCCAAGUCGCGUGAAGGAUGACUGCCCUAUGGGUUGUAAACUUCUUUUAUAUGGGAAUAAAAUGCAGUACGUGUACGGCUUUGCAUGUACCUUAUGAAUAAGGAUCGGCUAACUCCGUGCCAGCAGCCGCGGUAAUACGGAGGAUCCGAGCGUUAUCCGGAUUUAUUGGGUUUAAAGGGAGCGUAGGUGGGUUGUUAAGUCAGUUGUGAAAGUUUGCGGCUCAACCGUAAAAUUGCAGUUGAAACUGGCAGUCUUGAGUACAGUAGAGGUAGGCGGAAUUCGUGGUGUAGCGGUGAAAUGCUUAGAUAUCACGAAGAACUCCGAUUGCGAAGGCAGCCUACUGGACUGUAACUGACGCUGAGGCUCGAAAGUGUGGGUAUCGAACAGGAUUAGAUACCCUAGUAGUC